RNAcentral lists this ribosomal RNA (253 nucleotides) under uncultured bacterium. RNAcentral describes it as "partial 16S ribosomal RNA". It matches the Rfam family "Bacterial small subunit ribosomal RNA", at positions 524 to 776 of the family's 1533-position model. The record is from RNAcentral.
UACGUAGGGUGCGAGUGUUGUCCGGAAUUACUGGGCGUAAAGAGCUCGUAGGCGGCUUGUCGCGUUGUUCGUGAAAAUUUACCGCUCAACGGUGAACUUGCGGGCGAUACGGGCAGGCUAGAGUACUGCAGGGGAGACUGGAAUUCCUGGUGUAGCGGUGAAAUGCGCAGAUAUCAGGAAGAACACCGGUGGCGAAGGCGGGUCUCUGGGCAGUAACUGACGCUGAGGAGCGAAAGCGUGGGGAGCGAACAGG